CACGUAGGGUGCGAGCGUUGUCCGGAAUUAUUGGGCGUAAAGAGCUCGUAGGCGGUGUGUCGCGUCGGCCGUGAAAACCUGCAGCUUAACUGUGGGCUUGCGGUCGAUACGGGCAUCACUGGAGUUCGGCAGGGGAGACUGGAAUUCCUGGUGUAGCGGUGAACUGCGCAGAUAUCAGGAGGAACACCGGUGGCGAAGGCGGGUCUCUGGGCCGAUACUGACGCUGAGGAGCGAAAGCGUGGGGAGCAAACAGG
Molecule: ribosomal RNA, 254 nt
Filed under: uncultured bacterium
Lineage: Bacteria
Description: partial 16S ribosomal RNA
Rfam family: Bacterial small subunit ribosomal RNA
Source: RNAcentral